AGCUCAGUGGCAGAGUGUGUGCUUAGCAUGCAUGAGGUCCUGGGUUCAAUCCCCAG
This 56-nucleotide transfer RNA is filed under the name Camelus bactrianus (Bactrian camel). It matches the Rfam family "tRNA", at positions 9 to 63 of the family's 71-position model. Rfam says of the family: Transfer RNA (tRNA) molecules are approximately 80 nucleotides in length. Lineage: Eukaryota; Metazoa; Chordata; Mammalia; Artiodactyla; Camelidae. The record is from Rfam by way of RNAcentral. RNAcentral also lists the same sequence under 2 other names.